RNAcentral lists this ribosomal RNA (497 nucleotides) under uncultured bacterium. RNAcentral's name for it is "partial 16S ribosomal RNA". It matches the Rfam family "Bacterial small subunit ribosomal RNA", at positions 28 to 507 of the family's 1533-position model. The record is from RNAcentral.
GAUGAACGCUGGCGGCGUGCUUAAUACAUGCAAGUCGAGCGAACGGACGCGGAGCUUGCUUCGCUGAUGUUAGCGGCGGACGUGUGAGUAACACGUGGAUAACCUACCUGUAAGACUGGGAUAACUUCGAGAAACCGGAUCUAAUACCGGAGAAGAUUUUGAACCGCAUGGUUGAAUAGUAAAAGACGGUCGUGCGGUAACGUAUAGAUGGAUCCGAGCUGCAUGAGCUGGUUGGGAAGGUAACGGCUUACGAAGGGAACGAUGCAUAACCGACCUCCGGGGGUGAUAGGCCACCCUGGAGCUGGGCCAGGCUCCAGACUCCUACGGGAGGCCGCAGUAGGGAAUCUUCCGCAACGGGCGGGAGCCUGACGCAGCGACGCCGAGUGAGUGAUGACGGUCUUCGGAUCGUAAAACUCUCUUAUUAGGGAUGAACCUAUGUGUACGUAACUGUGCCCAUCUUGACGGUACCUAAUCAGAAAGCCCCGGCUAACUACGUG